Molecule: small nuclear RNA, 101 nt
Filed under: Ursus americanus (American black bear)
Lineage: Eukaryota; Metazoa; Chordata; Mammalia; Carnivora; Ursidae
Also listed under: 2 other names
Source: RNAcentral
GUCACUUUGGCAGCACCUCUACUCACACUGGAAUGACACAGAGAUUAGCAUGGCCCCUGCACAAGGAGAACACACAAACUCGUGAAGCAUUCCUAAUUUUU